UGACAAGGCGAGCCGCGUUUCUCCCCACACGCCCCAAAAGGCGAUGACCCUCCCCAGGCCGCGCUCACGCUGAACCCCUGCUGCUGAGCUGCAGUUCCUGGAGGUGUCCUGUCCUCAAAUGUGGGGACGCGGGGAAAAGAUUAAGAAGGACAUCAACAACGUCAGCCACACUCAGCACAAAGCCAAAUUAUGGCACAUAGAGCUGAGUAAGAAAAUUUCCUUCUACUAUUUUUGAUUCCUCUCUUUAUGUCCCAACCCUAGGGGCAAGCCUAAUGAGGAAGAGGAGCAGGAAAAGAGAAAUGAAGGAUCACGCCUUCCUCUCUCACUGCAGGCAGCCAGCUCACACUGGGGCUGCCCAAGAAUGGGAUACAAUUCAACGUUAAAUAAAAUUCAAUGUUUUAGAUUUUUCCAGGGCUCAGUAUUCUAAUGUGUGUAUUGGGCUGUGUUUGUGACUUAAAAUGACCACAGGACAGACUGUAAAUUACCUUGGGGUGAACUGUAUUCAUCCAAGUCAGGAAAAGAUUACCAUACAAAAUAAACUUUACGGGAUCAAUAAGAACAAAA
This 564-nucleotide small RNA is filed under the name Pongo abelii (Sumatran orangutan). RNAcentral's name for it is "processed transcript". Lineage: Eukaryota; Metazoa; Chordata; Mammalia; Primates; Hominidae. The record is from RNAcentral.